This 652-nucleotide ribosomal RNA is filed under the name uncultured bacterium. RNAcentral describes it as "bacterial SSU rRNA". It matches the Rfam family "Bacterial small subunit ribosomal RNA", at positions 202 to 842 of the family's 1533-position model. The record is from RNAcentral.
GAAAGAUGGUUCUGCUAUCACUCUUGGAUGGACCUGCGGUGCAUUAGCUAGUUGGUAAGGUAACGGCUUACCAAGGCAAUGAUGCAUAGCCGAGUUGAGAGACUGAUCGGCCACAUUGGGACUGAGACACGGCCCAAACUCCUACGGGAGGCAGCAGUAGGGAAUCUUCCACAAUGGACGAAAGUCUGAUGGAGCAACGCCGCGUGAGUGAAGAAGGGUUUCGGCUCGUAAAGCUCUGUUGGUAGUGAAGAAAGAUAGAGGUAGUAACUGGCCUUUAUUGACGGUAAUUACUUAGAAAGUCACGGCUAACUACGUGCCAGCAGCCGCGGUAAUACGUAGGUGGCAAGCGUUGUCCGGAUUUAUUGGGCGUAAAGCGAGUGCAGGCGGUUCAAUAAGUCUGAUGUGAGAGCCUUCGGCUCAACCGGAGAAUUGCAUCAGAAACUGUUGAACUUGAGUGCAGAAGAGGAGAGUGGAACUCCAUGUGUAGCGGUGGAAUGCGUAGAUAUAUGGAAGAACACCAGUGGCGAAGGCGGCUCUCUGGUCUGCAACUGACGCUGAGGCUCGAAAGCAUGGGUAGCGAACAGGAUUAGAUACCCUGGUAGUCCAUGCCGUAAACGAUGAGUGCUAAGUGUUGGGAGGUUUCCGCCUCUCA